Long non-coding RNA from Scatophagus argus, 1379 nucleotides. RefSeq lists it as uncharacterized. The transcript is spliced from 2 exons. Lineage: Eukaryota; Metazoa; Chordata; Actinopteri; Scatophagidae. The record is from RefSeq and is a predicted model, not a curated record.
GUAAAUAUCUUCUAGUUAUUGUGAGAGAAAAAUGGUUUGAACUGCUGUACUUUUUAUCACAGCAGCUCGACAGUAUUCACACUCUCUGUGGUGUUCAUUUGCCUGAGGCCGAUUGUCUCCUACACAUUUUAUAUGCUGUCUGUGAUCAUGGAGGGAUUUGUGUUUUUUAUGAGUUUGUAUAUCAUGUUUGGCUGAAAUAUUUAGUGCAAGUUGCUUUAGUGCAAGAUUUAUACAUAUUUCCCAGUUUAAUAAAUAUGCAUGUUACCUCACUUUUUUUAACAGUACAAAUAAUGGCAAUAUUGAUAGUAUACAUAAUAAGAAGUUGCAGUGGUUUUAAGAAAAGAAAAAAUCUUUUCCUAUAUGUUCAGUUUCACGCAUAAACAUACAGCACUUGUGUCUGCGACACCGUAAACAGAUUCUUUAAAAGGCCUCUUGUGAUGUGUGUCGGUCAUCUAAACAGAAUGCAGUACUUUGCCUGCAAAGAUAUAUGUCAAAGCCGGCGGUUAAACUGGACUGAAAUAAAAAUAAAUUUUUCUUAGAGAUCUGUUUAUAAAUCAUUGGUAUUGGUACAAGAAAAUUACAAAACAAAUAAAUAAAUAAAAAAAUCAUGCCUUUUAUCAGAUCCAUUUGCAGUGCAGUGCAGCAAACAUGCCACAGCAGUCCAGGACAAACGUACUGUAAUGUUGCAUAUGCAGUCAACACAAGGUAAGAUCAUUGACUAUGCCUCUAUGGGGAACACAAAGUAGAGCAGCUUGAUUUUUGGGCAGAGAGGGAGGGAGAGAGAGAGAGAGAGAGAGAGAGAGAGAGAGACCAGAUCUAUUGCUCUUUUAUAAUACUCUAAAAUGUACCUUUUUAUGUCAGUUCUUUACAAACCGACUUUCUCUCACCUGGCCUGUGUUAGGUUGAAAUUUUAAGUUUCGGCACUGAUCUUAAUCUGUCUCUCUCCCUCUCUCUUUCUUUGCUCUAAAACACUUCAUUUUUGUCUGCUUCCUCCUCUGCACUUGAUUUGAUUUGAUUUGCUUUGUGCUAAGAACUGUCUAUCAGUGACCAUCAAUUCUAUCUUCAUGACAUGAGAGUUUCCUAAUUGCUGUAGCGUGAGAUCACUUUUGGUCCAUUAACUUACCAUGUAACCAAAUGGACUUAUUGCUAAAAUGACUUUGGCAGGUUCAGAGAAUGAAGGGCUGCAAAAAUGACUUAUCUACCUAUUAAUCAUGAGUAAAAUAGAUUUGGUACUAAGGUGUACACAGCUGAAAUCACAACCAUAAUAGAACCAAGAACUUAAUGUUUUGAACAUUAGCAAAGGACACCAACUGGAUGUGAUAACAUUAUUUUGGCUGUCUUCAACAAUUAGUCAUGGUCCACACUAGAUGUACAAUAAA